CCCAGCCUAGCGGGAUUAGACAGAGGAGCCUGAAGUGAACCAGGUGCAGCCCAGAUGGUAGUAUAUUGACUCCAGCAUCUCCAACAAUAGAAAAAGGAAAUGACCUGUUUGUGACCUGCCAGCUCCCUCUGCCCGAUUGUAAGGGACCUAGUCCUCUCUGGCUAUCACUGCUUCCUGGGAAUGGUCUGGAACGCAUUGACUUGGAGCUUGGCUUGCCUGAUCUGAUGUUUUCAUGUCAGCCUAGAAAUCUGUGCAGGUCAAAUUCCAGCCUUUCCUCAGUCACCCAUGUGACCUCAGGCAGCUCCCAAGCUCACGUCUCUCUGUGGAAAGUGGGAAUGGUUAGUAACUACACAGCUCUCAUGUGCUCACUGGAGCCAUAUGAGACAUCCGGGGAGACUCAGCCAGAUCCUGGAUGGUGCCACGUCAGUCUCUAGGGAGGAGGUCACAGCUGCUGAAAGGAGGUCCAGGUCAAAAGGGAAACCUGAGGAUGUGCCUGUAUGGAAGGAGAUGAGCCAAGUCCAUGGGCAGACAGGGCCUGCAGAGCAAGGCCAUGGCCAGUUACCACAAACCUGCAGAGACAGCGGAACCAGCCACCUGUGCAGCCACAGACCCUCUCAGCUAUCACAGGUCACUCAGAUAACAGCCAGGGCCUGAAAAGUUGAAACCCAGGACAGGUUAAGGCCAACUUGCGAGACAUCAACACCAGGAAAGCCACCAAACCACCCAGGACACAAAGAAAGGUUUGUAAGAGCCUUGGGUCAAACUGGCCGCCAAAGCCAGCGUGGAGCUUAAAGGAGACCCAGCCAUGAGAUCUGGAAGGCAAGAGAAAGUGGCUGGGUUGGGCAAAAGGCCAGAAAGCUGUCUCGUCUCUGGUUUUGUUUUCCUCCUCCCUCGUCCGUCCGUCCGUCCGUCCGUCCGUCCUUCCUGGCUCCUUCCCCACGGUGCUAUCCCUCCCAGUCUGUGGCCGAAGAGGACAUUCCAUCAGGUCUGAUGUCAGAGCUCUCUACCACCACCACCACCCAGCUUCCUGUGUGUGAGCUCUGCCUCCAGGAGAGCUUCCCCCCGCCCCUCCAUGGUGUGUCCCCAGAUGCAAAGUGUCUUCAUUCUGUCACAGAACCUUGGACACCUGAGCUUUCAAGGUCAAAGAUGCAUCUCUGGUCAGGUGGGAUUACAGCAGCAGUGUCGGCUUCCCCUAAUCCCAUGUUUCAACAUCCCCUGGAAGGAAGGCGUUUAGACAUUUUCUUCUUCCUCAUCCCUCCUCGUGACGUUUUAACACCACAGCGAUGCUGUACAAUCAGAGUGCUCUGCGGUUAUCCCUGUGUGUUUUCAUAAAGCGGGAUCUUGUUAGACCGCA
This is a long non-coding RNA of Peromyscus maniculatus bairdii (prairie deer mouse), 1354 nucleotides long. RefSeq lists it as uncharacterized. The record is from RefSeq and is a predicted model, not a curated record. NCBI's taxonomy places the organism in Eukaryota, Metazoa, Chordata, Mammalia, Rodentia, Cricetidae.